This 731-nucleotide ribosomal RNA is filed under the name uncultured eukaryote. RNAcentral describes it as "SSU rRNA". It matches the Rfam family "Eukaryotic small subunit ribosomal RNA", at positions 670 to 1426 of the family's 1831-position model. The record is from RNAcentral.
CGGGUGCACUGAUCCAGCCGGGCCUUUCCCUCUGUGGAACCCCAUGGCCUUCACUGGCUGUGGCGGGGAAACAGGACUUUUACUUUGAAAAAAUUAGAGUGCUCCAGGCAGGCCUAUGCUCGAAUACAUUAGCAUGGAAUAAUAGAAUAGGACGUGUGGUUCUAUUUUGUUGGUUUCUAGGACCGCCGUAAUGAUUAAUAGGGACAGUCGGGGGCAUCAGUAUUCAAUUGUCAGAGGUGAAAUUCUUGGAUCUAUUGAAGACUAACUACUGCGAAAGCAUUUGCCAAGGAUGUUUUCAUUGAUAAGGAACGAAAGUUAGGGGAUCGAAGACGAUCAGAUACCGUCGUAGUCUUAACUAUAAACUAUGCCGACUAGGGAUCGGACGAUGUUAUUCUUUGACGCGUUCGGCACCUUUCGAGAAAUCAAAGUGCUUGGGCUCCAGGGGGAGUAUGGUCGCAAGGCUGAAACUUAAAGAAAUUGACGGAAGGGCACCACCAGGGGUGGAACCUGCGGCUUAAUUUGACUCAACACGGGGAAACUCACCAGGUCCAGACACAGUGAGGAUUGACAGAUUGAGAGCUCUUUCUUGAUUCUGUGGGUGGUGGUGCAUGGGCCGUUCUUAGUUGGUGGAGUGAUUUGUCUGCUUAAUUGCGAUAACGAACGAGACCUUUAACCUGCUAAAUAGCCCGUACUGCUUUGGCAGUUCGCCGGCUUCUUAGAGGGACUAUCGG